GCUGGCGGCGUGCCUAACACAUGCAAGUCGAACGAGAAAGUGGAGCAAUCCAUGAGUAAAGUGGCGCACGGGUGAGUAACACGUGACUAACCUACCCUUGAGUGGGGGAUAACUGAGGGAAACCUUAGCUAAUACCGCAUAAUACCUACGGGUCAAAGGAGCAAUUCGCUUAAGGAGGGGGUCGCGGCCGAUUAGUUAGUUGGCAGGGUAAUGGCCUACCAAGACGAUGAUCGGUAUCCGGCCUGAGAGGGCGCACGGACACACUGGAACUGAAACACGGUCCAGACUCCUACGGGAGGCAGCAGUGGGGAAUUUUGCGCAAUGGGGGAAACCCUGACGCAGCAACGCCGCGUGGAGGAUGAAGUCCUUCGGGACGUAAACUCCUUUCGAUCGGGACGAUUAUGACGGUACCGGAAGAAGAAGCCCCGGCUAACUUCGUGCCAGCAGCCGCGGUAAUACGAGGGGGGCGAGCGUUGUUCGGAAUUAUUGGGCGUAAAGGGUGCGUAGGCGGUUUGGUAAGUCUGAUGUGAAAUCUAUGGGCUCAACUCAUAGUCUGCAUCGGAAACUGCCGGGCUUGAGUAUGGGAGAGGUGAGUGGAAUUCCUGGUGUAGCGGUGAAAUGCGUAGAUAUCAGGAGGAACACCUGUGGC
RNAcentral lists this ribosomal RNA (649 nucleotides) under uncultured bacterium. RNAcentral's name for it is "bacterial SSU rRNA". It matches the Rfam family "Bacterial small subunit ribosomal RNA", at positions 35 to 716 of the family's 1533-position model. The record is from RNAcentral.